Molecule: long non-coding RNA, 14881 nt
Filed under: Monomorium pharaonis (pharaoh ant)
Lineage: Eukaryota; Metazoa; Arthropoda; Insecta; Hymenoptera; Formicidae
Description: uncharacterized LOC118646843
Source: RNAcentral
GGUAUACACAUGUAAACGUACGCACACACGGUGCCUUCGAUUAGUCCGCGCGGGAAACCAGGACGUCCCGGCGAGAACGGGGGAAAUUAAUUGCGAAACUUGUAGCGAGUUCUUCAAAGGUUAACGGAGUAAGAAAUGGGACGAGGCGGGCGGGCGCGAAGGUAGAGAGUGUUUCGCGACUUUUCUCGGUGAAAAAGUCGAGAGACUGAGCUUUACGAGUUCCUCCCGAGCGAGAGUUUUUAGACGUAAAAAAAAAAGCCGGCAGCUGUGUUUAACUAACGGAAGUGAGUUAAGAUUGCAAAGGUGAUUAUGCAGCAGAAGGUGAAAAAAGGUUUUAGAAUCAUCAGCUGCUCCGAAAAAUAAUUAGUUACAUCCGGAAAGUUUUGAUAGUGAAACAUGUUGACUGUUACGUCGAGUAUUAAAUAAUCCUGAAAUUUGCGAAUUAGUUUCUUCUGAGAAAGUAAAGUUUCGCUAAAUGUGAGUACAGCACUGAAACGUAACUUCGUAUGCGAGACGCAUCUUUCUUCCAUUCAAGUGAACUUUACAGACACGGUAUAAGUCAUUUUGUUAAUCUUUUUAUUUUGAAACUUUUUCAUGCCUGACACAUUUAAAAAAGAUUCCAACUAUUCAGUCGCUCAAUUUUCUUUUUUUAAGAAAAACAUUAGGCGUACAAGAUUUAGAAAAGUAUUGACUUUAUAAAAUUAACUUUUGUUAGACGGAAAUUGUGUAUCUUUAUUAUUUUACGCCGUCAUAUCGCUUUAUUAUUCGAAUGUCACAGGACAACUGUCUCGUUAACACAAAGACAGGAUUCGGCGUUGGCACCGAAAUCGUCGCGAAGCGACAUUGAAUAUACAAUUCUGCGGGCGGGCAUGAAAAUCGAGAGGAACGACGUGGAUAUAAUAAUAGUAGCGAAAUUUCGAGUCCGGCCCCGGUAACAAAGGAAACCGGGGUCGGGUAAUACCGAACGCGAAACAACCGAGGAACAAUACGAUCUCUCGCAGACGGGCAAAAUGCGUACAAUUAUCGUGAAAUAUAUACGCAAAUUAAUCCUACCCACGCGAGGCAGGUCCCGAUGAAACUCGAACCGAAUAGAGUAACGAGAAGGCGGUGCCGGCGAGAUAUGGGAGAUAACGGGUGUUCGAAAGCGAAGGCGCCCGAACAAUCAGAUUCCGAAUCGCUCGACACAGCGAUUCCGAUUUGAUUGACUACGGUUUAUGGAGUUAAAUGAGCUAAGCUUGCCAAUUCAAUUACGACAGAUAUGCUCGAAAUUUAUCGAUUUCCACCCAGAUGUCUUCUUAGUGUCAGAUGCAGCAUUCAAGAUAUGGUUACGCACCAUUUUUCCACGCACACACCGAACGAGGGACUCAUGAUGGGCACAAAUUUUUCCGAUGGAAAACGCGACGCCGAAUCACGGAACUUCCGAAUAUUCUUGGAGAGGACACACGGGCACACUUGGUCGCGGACACCGGCGAUGCGGCACUGAACAGCCGCAAAUGGAGCGUGACAGACGGAAAACCGGAAGUGAUCCAAUGGGAGGAGAGACAUUCCCGUGGAGCCUGCCACCUCUCGGCGCGGUGCAUGACGUCAGGUUUAGAGCGGGCGUGAAUGCAUCGAGUGAUCUCAUGGCGACAAGGCUGUGAUAAGCGCCCGAUGCACCCGACAUCGCCGUGAUAAAUGGCAGGCGAGAGCUGACGGGUUUUACGAAACCGGAGACCACACGGCAAAUAAAUUUGAUUUUGCUUUUAUACGUUAUAAGUUAAAAAUCCUUAUUAUGAUUAGAGAGAAAGAAAAAUCAAGAUAAAGGCAAGUCUAUGCGCUGGAAGUUGCGCUUUAAAAUUAAAGCGAUAACAAGCGUACUCAAUAUUUCAUUUAAAAAGAGAUGUUCUUAAGAUAAUUUUACACUUUUAAUUUCUAUAAUUAUCGCAUGUAAAACCACUACGCUGUAAUUAAAAGUAAUUUGAUAAGGUUUUAAUUUUUAUUAGCAAUUGUACGAGCGAUUAAGAAACCUCAAUAAAAUUUUCUUCCAUAAGACAAUACCUUGGACUAAUAAAAGACCUACAUUCCGAAGGCGCACAACAAUGCACGAGAGAUACAUGCCUGCGUGUACGGAUACACGUUUUCUUCGCGCAUCAUCGCCGAGUCGAGCGUGACGCAUCAGAGACGAGAUACGCACAACGAAAACAUCUCGCCUGUUAAUCCGAUCGCCCACGCACGAAUUCCCGUCGUACAGGUACACGAAAUUACAUUAUAGGCGUCUCGUGCAACGCGAGAUUAUGUCGCGAGACAUUCCCGCAAACUUCUGCGUCCCUGAAAUUCCGGAUCGGAAUUCGCAGCAUCGCGCAGCGGCGUAGAGACAAGGGGAAACGAUAACGCACGCGUCCAAUCCCUCGCGAAAUCGAACGACUACAAAUAAUAAGCGAUCAGCAACAAAUCGAAAAACCUGUAUGUCUUUCUAGCAAUUAAAUCGAGAAAGACUUUACUACCGAAAUUGACCGAGCAACAGAUUCUGUAUAUUCUUCGUUCUUGUCCCAAUACUUAUACUUUUUAUUAAUUUUUUGGAAGAUUAAAGACGAGGAGCAAUUAUGACAAAAGUAGAGCAAUUAAUUGAUCAGAAAUUAAAGAAAUCCUUAAUUAAUUUUGUUUCGUGUGCUAAAUUUAGAUUUAAGUCAGCACUUGCAAAGAAUAAAAAUAGCGAUGACGAAUUGAAACUUGUAUUCUUAUAAUGUUAAAAGUGGCGUAAAUAAUUAAGUUCUUAACAAUAUAUAUUUUAUGUAUAAAAUAAUGUUAUAAAUAAUAAUAGAGCUUACCGCAAAAGUGACGUACUACCAAAAUUGGAUUUCCUCUUUAAGCGUUCAUAAGUUAAUAACAAGUUAAUGAUAUAAAACUUAACAACUUAAUAAUUUAUGAAACCAUUAACGCUUUAAAAUGGAAAAGUCAAACUUUAACAGUUAGAAGAUUACUUUUGCGAUAAGUACCUCAAAUUAAAUAUCAUUUUCUAUGAUAGAUUUCUUUUUAUAUUCAUUAGAAUGAUCUACUUUAUUGCAAGUGUUACACGUGCGCAUAUUGACUGCAUAGACCGUAACAAAAAAUUACCCGUAAAUUCUCGUCCAGAACGAGUCCAAUCCUCCCGCUUUUCAGAUUCCACUGUGAAUUAUGGAGAAUGAUUGCAGCCAGGACGCGUCGCGCGAAAUCGAAGCUGCAUAAUUUUCUGGUUCACGGACCGGGCGAUCGAUCUGACGAAUUGCAUCAAGUGUAUCACGAAUGCACAUGGAUAACGCCUGUGUCCCCGUGACGUAACGGCGUGAAAGAUACAAAGUGAGGACGUGCCAGUCGCUAACGCGUAUCUGUGAGCUACGUUGAAAGAGAUUUUCGCGUUUCAAACAAAAAUUAAUACCGAAAGCUGGUGUUAAAAUUGAGAAGUUCCGAAAGACAUAAUUAUAUACCGUUUCCCGUCAAGUGCGAUUUAAUACUUGUUAAUAUCCGCUAAAUACAUGUUUUCCGACAUAAUAUAAUCGCCAUGAAAUCCGGAACUUUCCAUCAUCAAUAUUAAAUACCGCUUCAAUUCCGACAUGAUAACAAAUAUCGAAUUGGUUAGCAUCGUCGUCGCGGCAAGCGCAAAUAUUAGCAAUACAUUUCCCGCUUGUCAAUAUAUCGUAAUAUUUGCGCGUAUUGCAAUAUCGAAAUGGAAAUGCAUCUAUGUAUACGCAUGACAAUUAAUGUUCGUAGAUUUUUCGUUUACCUGCGACGCAUGACAAUUAAUGUUCGUAGAUUUUUCGUUUACGCGUUAUGUUACAUGGUUUAUUUUACAAAAUAGUUUAUAUAAAAUCAUAUUGACGAUGUAAUCUCAUAUAUACUGGAAAGAUAGGAAAAAAAAGAGAAACUGAGAAUUAAAAGCAUCAAGUAAAGGAUUAAAAGUUAAAAACAAUUCUUCAGAAAUUAAAUAGUCCAUGAGAAAAACAAACGUUGAAAAAAAAUUAAAUCUCAUAAUUUUCAUAGUAGCUGCAACCGAGAGAUGAUACUGAAAGUGUUCCCGUUUCAAUUAAUCCGGCAUACCUAUCGGGUGCGUGGAACGCACGAAAUAAAUUCACGUAUACCAACACAAGUACUAAUUACUAUCGUCGGUAAAGACCGGGUUGAAGAUGCGCCCAGGUUAAAACUCACCCUUCGGUAUUCGCACGCGAUUCGCACAAAAUACCAAGCCAAAUUCGCGAGGAGGGUGCGCGCAGACAAUUGCACUAUUACCGGGCGGGAUGAAUCACGACCGGCUAGGAAUACCGCGAUACCGGUACUGGCAACGUUCCGAUAAGACAGAGAAGAGACGCGGGGGAGGUGCGGGGAGGUGGCUAAAGGGUGCAUCGACCAGAGACGACAGACGAACGGGAGCCACGGUGGCUACCUACCCUCGUUACCGUUCACCCUCUCGCCUGCUCGAAACUAGAACAGCCUUCCUUUUCCCGCCUUACCGGAAUACCCGCUACGAAACGUACGGCCGGCCGGCACGAGAUAUCGUUCCACCGGCUCACCGUGGCCAUUCAUAAAGCGAUCUUAAACACCUAGCGGUCUUAAUCACCCCGCGAAACGGACCGUGAAUCAUGGGGCCGUGAGUCUCUUAGUGCCCGAGUACCUACUGUUAAAAAUUUCACGACUCGCAGGAUUCGAAAAACUACGGAGCGCGGUUAAUCCGCCGCGGUCAGCUGAAUUAACCGCAACCCCCGAUGUCCUCUGUGCGCUACCAAAAGAUUGUGAAAAGAGAAUUUAAAGUUUUAGACAAUAUAUUUGAACUGAUACAAUUCACUUGAAACUUCUUUCGAUAUAGUAUUGUUGCUUUUUUUAAAUAUUAAAAUAUUAAAUUACGACGUAAUAAAAUGUCAAGCGUAAGUUAUAGCUGUGAAGAAUAUGCUUCUCCUAAAAAGUUGCGCUUAAUCUUCAUGACGCUAUUUAUCAUCUAAUGAUGUGCGUGACGCGUGUAAGUGCAAUUAAUAUUGAAGAUGUAGAUAUAAAAUCAAAAAACAUUUGUCGUUUAUUUGUCACGUAAAUUAAUCACAUUAAAAAAUUUUCAAACUUAUCUUCGAUUUAUUAUCAAAAAUAAAAACUAAUAAGUUCAAUAUUUAUAAAUGCAAACAUUUAUAAGCGCAUUCGUACGCGGAGAGUCGGUGCAUUUCGCGCAAACGUUUUCGAGCGAUUUCUGCUGCAACACUCGUACGAUUAACAUCGAGACACAUCGCGCACACGAAGGAACAUGAGCUUAACUGUAAGGAGUCCUCGAGCACGUACACGCGAAUCCUAGUGGAUCGUUUCCACCCUCGGCGUCUGGGUAAACAUCGUCGCCUCGUCGUUACCGGCUGCAAUCUCGGUCUCGCGAAAAUCUUGGAGCGGGACUCGAUAUCACCUGGUUGUGGAAAAUCGCGCAACCGCGCAGGAAGGCUUAUAAACGGUAAACCUAAGCCAGAUCGUGGCGAUAUCGCCCUUCGAGCCCUACAAUACCCAGCACGCGUUUCACGAUAGAUUCCAUUUGGAUCGUCCUGUCGCACGAUAGCGCGGAAGAGACGGGCGCGAUGAUAAUCAAAGUGAAAUUGUCGAGAAUGGGAUUUGGUGCAAAAGGGGCUUUGGUAGAAGAGAAAUAUUCGAUGAUCGACAAACAAUUAAUUAAACCGACAGAAAUUUCAUUUAAUGCGCAUUUUAUUUCACGUGAUGAUUUUUAAUCAGCUCGCUUUGCGCGAUUGGAAGUUUUGCUAUGGGUAUGCAGAGAUUGCAGAAACAAAAAUUCGAUAACAAUCAGAUCAAUUUGAUUCGGUAUUUAUUUUAAUAUUAAGAAAUUAUUUAAUGAAAAACCUGUAUCAGUUAUAUAAUUUUUAAAGAAUGCCGCAAAAAUUACGAUUCAACGAUUAUAUUAUACAAAGCUGAAUACUCAUAAUUUUCAAUCUUGCUUUUCUUCCUUGCUAAUAAUUUGAGCAUUGCGUAACAAUAUACCAUUAAUUCUCAAGUGAAUACAGAAUGCGACAUGCACAGUUUGUAAUAAUGUUUAUAAAUCGUAUUCACUCAUUGUUUUUGGUGUAUUAAUGAAAAUUAUAUUCAUUGCACCCAUCAAAUUGCACAUUAACUAUAUUAUGUAUUGUAACGUGAUUAAUUAUUCAAAGAAAUAUCGCUGCACGUCCAUUUUUCCAAUUAUUUGUCAUAUCUUAAAAUUUUAAUUGCGAUUUUACCGCUCUCUUUCGGAAUAAUUCACUACGUCCUCGCGUUCGUGAAUUAUUGUUGAAGCAGAAAUCAUAACAUGUUAAUUUAACGAGAAAUAAUUUCUCUAACAUUUUCAUAUAUGCGUUAAUUGACCAUGUUUUAUGUGACUUCAAUCUCGUAACAAAAUUUCUUUAAUAACAGAUAUAAUGCUUAGUGAUAAUGAGACUGUAAUUUAGAGUUGCAAUAAAAUAUUUAUAAAUUACAUUAGAAAAAUAAUAUAAUUUCGUCCAAAAUUAUAAUUCAUCAGAUUAUAAUUCCGCACAAAUAAUAAUGAGAGAGAGAGAAAGAGAGAGAGAGAGAGAGCGAGCGGAGAGGUAAGAAUAUUCGACAUCACUCAAGAAAGUGGACGGGACGUGCCGUCGGAAAUCUCAAGCGAAUUUUUCACCCUGGGGCUUCCCUCGCUCUACCCCGUUGAUUACAUUAGGGGCGGGAAAGGCCUUCCCCCUCGACUUGCAGCGAACCGACGGGAUCUUCCAAAUCGAAGUCGGCUCUCCGCCGACAAGAAUCUCGUCAUUAAGAUUUUUGAUUUGAAUGCAAAUGGCUACUUGUCCCCCUGCCUCGCGCGGGGGAAAUCUCGCCCAUCCUUUGGCGGAUAUCUCGGGAGGAAAAUGGACCGGGGCUCUGGUGUCUCGGCAGAGAGUUACGGAAUGCACUCGAAAUUGAUGUUUCACAAGACAUACGCGCGCACCAUCACUCGACACCCCGCUCUCGUUCUCCAUGUGAGAUAUAUUUGUUUUAUUUAGCGUACUUUACAAGCGCGAUCGCGCAAAUUGACCUCAUUUACCUCUCGUGCCUUACCGAAGGCGUUCCUUAAACCGAAAAGGGAUCUCGUAAUAUUUCUCCUUUCUCUUCCGAACGGCGCGACAGCGCUAUCGACCUGCCGCAAUCUGUAGCCCUAUCGAUUUUUUAUUAUCCCGCCUGGAAAGUCUUUUGCCGCUGUUGAAACACACGCUUUUCGUCGCCCUUUGUUUUCUGCUUCCUCACGUUUAUAUUUUUCGUAAAGAGAUAUCUUCCACCGCGUGUCACCGGCAUUCGUAAUGCCAAUGAUUUUUUUUUUUUAACGCUCGAACGACAGCCGGCAACUUUCGCAAUUGGUAUAAUCUCUCACGGUGGACGUUUCACAUCAACUGUCUCGCUUCUACGAUCACGCCGGACAACGGGCGUCGUUAAACUUUCAACCACCCAUGGAUGGCCGUUGUGUACGAAGGUCCUAAGUUAAAAUGAAGCUCGUCGUGUGUGCAUCGCGUCGCGACCCAGGUAAGGCGAGACGUAAUUUACUGGUUUCUGCUUGUUACACCGACCGCACGUCGACGUGUCGCCGGCGUUUGCUCGUAAAGCCGACAAACUCGACGUAAUUUUAUCCCGUCUCUAGAUACGCCGGUACACGUAGGAUACAGCUCCGUUACCCCCUCGGCCGUCCGCACUCCUUUACCCUUCGGCGAAAUGAGAUUUCGCUCGGCGCGGACGACGCAGGACACGCAACGGCCGCGCUUUGCGGUAUCGGGAUAGAACAGUUUAUGUAAUCUGACACGGUGAUCUUGUCCUGCUCCUCUCGUGGUUAACCCUUAUCCGCACAGGAGACGACCCCGUCAAAGACCAAGUCUCGAAAAUGUUUAUUUUCAAACAAAAUACGAAGAAAAAGGAAACCACUGCAUCUAUCUCUUCCCGAAAGGUCGAAGGAAAAGAUUGUCUCUAAUUCAACGACACCUCCUUGAUAUUUAUCGAUAAACGAUAAGUAUUAAAUAAUACUCAUUUAUUCCGUAUAGAUAUCGCAGCUAAAAACUUUAUGAGAUAACCGACUAAUCAGAAGCCGAUAGACAAAUCAUGUUAAAACUGUAAUAUUGAUGGAUCGGUAAAAAAAAACAACCCUACAAAUUAUGCUAUUAUUAGAAGAGUUGAGGCAAACAUUUUGUAAUUACAACGCGUAAUUAAUAUCCUUCUCAAAUAAAACAAUAACUACUUUGUGAAAAUAUCAAAGCAUAGGAACAUGAGAGAGACAAUACAGGAAGGUCACAGCCGAUCUCGCAGUUACGGGAGAAAAUCGAUACACCGUCCACACGCACGAUCACCCAGCUAAAAAUAUCAAAUUUUGCACGGCAAAAAAUGUGGAAUUAAUAUAGACAAUAUGUGUCGGCCAUGCAUAUACGGGCAUCAGCGAAUCGCAGGCUACGCGUAAAUGGCUUUUGAUACACCACAAUAGCCCGGCAAUCGGAUUUGCGAGUGAGUCGAGAGGUUAUCCUCCGAAAGUAGAAUUUACAUGAGAAUUUACAUGGUUUGCUAGAGACAGUUGCAAAAAGAGAAAAGCAAGAGAAGGGGGGGGGAGAGAAGCAAUUGUGCGAAGGUGGUAGCUGGUGCCCAAUAUAAAUUCAAAUGUAUUUGACGCAUCAUCGAACAACGCUUCUAUAAAGCUUCGCCAUCCCAUCCCGUGAAAAUUUCUGUUUCCACGUAAAUUUCAUUUUUCUCAACGAAACAGUGCUUUAUUGCCCCCAGGAAAAAUAUCGGUCGUAAUAUCUGGCGCGUCAAUAACGGAAAUGUGUACAUGAUCUUACUCAUUUCGACCAUAAUUUACGUCAUGCAGUACUAAAAAAUGCUUAUACAAAUGUUGAACAUUACUUCAAUAAAAAAAAAAUCAUCAGUUGCUCUUUUUCUAUACUUUAAUAAUUCAUAAUAUUUUUCAGUGUGUCGUAUAUUAUAUUAUAUAAAAAUUAUAUAAAAUAUUUGUCUCUACUCUUGUUUAUAAUUUGCAAGUUUUUGCUAUGCAUUGUUUACACGCGAAUCGAUCAAUGAUGUAGUCUGUCUUGAUCUUUCCGUUGCAGGGGGUUCGUAUAUCGUGUCGGAAAUGCGAAUGCAAGCUCAGGUGAGGAGGUCUGAAGCGAGUGAACUCAGUCAGGGGACAAGGCAGCAGGUUGAUUGAUCGCGUGUCAGGUUCCAGCCAACCUGGCGCCAGUCCAGUGGUGCGCAACCUGCUGCCACGUGGCAGGGAGAUUGGCGAGGUUCGGACAACUCUCGCGGGUGCAAAGCAUGGGAGUACUAUUAACGGAGACGGAAGUCGUGUCGCCUUUUUUUUUAUCGAGUUAAAAACUAUGGACGACGGCGCGGUAACGCCACACACAAUGACGACAAUGUGUAACAAAGUAUUCCUGCCUUUUAUUACGCAGCUGCGUGCAGUUUAUUGUGAACGUGUGUUACGUGGGAAAUAAGCCAUGAAUAAAAAAUGAUGUAAAAAAAAGUAAAUAGGGAUAACACGCUAUAAAAAAAGCUAUGAGGUAACUGAUAAAUUACGUCCUCCUUUACAAUGCAGAAGGCGCCUUUGGAAACGCGAUAAACGAUUUAUUUAAAUUUAAGGAUAGGUACAAGAUCGUUAGCAUGUGGCAUAUUGUAAAAAGAAAUAAGAUGACCAAUGGAAAUGAUCGCGGCAAUAAAAAAAUCUCUUUAAUUUUUGAAGAAAUAACUUCCAAGUUCUUAUUAGAGUAUAAAUAAAAUUUUCAAAAUGACUAUUCUCUCAAACGUGCCGCAGUCAUAUAACUCUGUACUAUAGGAGAUGGAAAAGAAAAGGCUUUUCACCAUCUUCUCUCAAAAACUACAAUAUAAAUAAAAAAUUAUGCAACGAAAUAAUUUCAUAUCCUACCUAAGUCAUACAUGUGCCAUACAUUGUUACGCUUCCAAAGGGCAAAAUAUAAUCACGUGAACUAUGGAGAAUUAUCAUCUUCGUUAUAAACAGGACGACAACGACGACGACGGCGAACAGUGUACUUGCGCCCACGUGGAGGAGAGUUACACUCUCCGGCAAUUAGAAUAUAAUUACGAUGAAACGGCGCAGUCAUGGGUGGCGAUAGACACCGGGGGUAUCGGUUACCCUCUGUCACACACGAGAGUGCAAUGAAUAAAAAAAAUAACUUUGAAACUCGGUCAGGGUAAACAGCAACGAAGCGCCGUGCGCGGGCGCGCGGCGAACCGUUUUAAUUCGCGACGGAAAAUACACGUUUCCAGCACAGCACCGGCCGAUCGAUAGGGAGUUACUUGGCGCACGUUCGACCGGAGUAGAUUCGCGUGUGCGCGAAUUAAAUUCGCAUGGAUUUCAAGGAGAACAGCGGAGAGCGGCGGAUUUGAACCCCUCCCCCCCCCCUACAGAGGAAGGGCCCAUCACCCCGUGGAAACGAAUCACGGCCCUGUGCGCCUCCAACCCCCGCAACCUGUCAGUCACUUUAUCCAUCCCCCUGGCCCUACGCCGCACCACCGGGUCCCUUUAUUUGAUCGACGAGUGACGUUAUCGCGGGUAAUAUCGGCGAGAGAGAGAGAGAGAGAGAAAGAGAGAGAGAGAGAGAGAGAGAGAGAGAGAGAGAGAGAGAGACGAGACUCUCUGGUACUUCCAAGCGAUCCGGCUCGCUCCAUCAAACAUUCAUGCUGUCGGUCGCAAGCUCGCGCAGUCGACCGACCGCCGCCGCCGACCACACCGUGAAAACGCAUCCGAUAAAAUGCAGCGCCCGGCCUGACACCUUUUGUGUGCUCGUGCCGUCGUAACGGGCUCGCCCACCAUCGCCGUUCACAUAUAUACACCCCCGAGAUUAAACCUUCGUUUCCGCCGCGUCGCGUUUCCUUUGACCCUCCCACGAAUUCAAUCGCAAUUGAUCUCGCACUCUCUCUUCUUCUCUCUUCCUCUUCUUCAUCCCUCUCUAUCUCUCUCUCUCUGCGUCUCCCUGUAAACACAUGGUAUUUUUAAUGUUUUAUUUUCAGACGGUAGGCUCACCAGCAUCUUGCAAAUGCUACGUGUAUGCCUGAUCGUAAUGAGCGCAAUUAUCGUAUCGCAUUAGGGAGGGGAAAAAAAUCCUGAGAUAUGAGAGUCCGAACAAGCCUUCACGCGCGAGUUGUUCUUGCGUCGGCCGAAAAUCACGGUGUGUCCACCCCGGGGACGCCUUUCGGCCAUGUGCGUCAUGUUAGGGCAAGGAUCGAUUUUCGCGGCUGCCGCGAUUAUGCGCUCCGUGUUUUUGCAACGAUAGCCGAUAAUAGACCACGGGCGUAAGCGACGACGCGGACGACUGCUUCGUUAAUUGAGCGAUCUCGAUCCGUUCAGGUGCGCCGUCGCGUUUAUUCUCGGGCUUAGAGAUUUUAAUGGACGGAACGGUGCUCUCCCGGUAAUACGACGGGGAAUAAGGGGAAGGAGUGAAUUAUUCGGCUGCGCGGCGACGAGAAUCGCAAAUUUGAAAUCUAAUAAAAGCGAAUAAUGGGUACGCCAUUAAGCUCUAAAUCGCAUCAAACGAAUUACACGGGGCUGUCUUUGUGCGAGCUAUUUAUUUCGAAAGUGACGUGAAUGAAAUUUUAAAGCCUUUGUUAGGAUAAUAGGUAUCAAUUGAUAUCUGCAUUCAGAAUACCGGGAGAGCAACUAUUUAGCCUCGCAAAUUCGAGUGGCUAACAAAUACAGUAGUAAACUUCGAUAUUAGCUCCGUCGUGGGUUUAUAUGUGUUAAUUAAAUCGCGACAUAAAUGCCGGGAGCUUAAUGACGUGGAAGUCGUGUUUAAUGCGGAAUGUUGGAAACUUGCCACCUUGCGCAACAAUCGAGGUAACCCCGGCGGAGAUCACAGGUGAAAAGCACAGGGAGGGAGAGGAAAGGACAGAAAGUAUGUGUGUUUGUGUAUGUGUAUGUGUAAGCGAGAGAGAGAGAGAGAGAGAGAGAGAGAGAAGAGUAUGUAGAGAGAGUUUGGACAUAAGGAGAGAAGAACGGACUCUAGAGCACUUCGUCACACUCCGGAGAAGACAGAGAGGACACGGCGGCUUGUUCUAGUUUACGAUUCUGAAAACGAGAACGUGGAGGGAACUCAGGUACCCGUAUGUCCCACGUGGCUAAGAGGCUCCCCCGAAAUUGUUGGAGAAUUCGGGCGAGUCCGCCGCCAAGAUGACUCCCGGAGGGGCUCCGAUGAAAGAUACUCUUUACUCGACUCUCGUCAUCCACCAUUCUGAUGCUCGCAUCAUAAAUUUGGACUUUCGUUAAAAUUAUUGUGUUAAGAAUAGAGAUCAUGUCAUUAUUUCCACUACCGGGGUUGCAUAUCGUUCACAGCGUACAGAAACAGAGAAUACAUUAAAGAUCUUUAUAGUAAAAGAAAUUUUAUAACGUAGUAGAAAGUCAGUUUUCUAUAAAUUAAAAUUAAAGUUUUCCACAAACUGAAAUUUAAUAAAAUAAAAUAAUUUAAAAAUUGAAUAAUGAAUUAUUUGUGAUUUUUCUCCCUCCCUUCCUCCUUCUCUCUCACACAUACACACACACACACACACACACACACACACACGCACGCACGCACGCGCGUGCGCACGCACACACUCGCUUGUUAUUGAGAAGCCAUUGGGACGGAUAAUUCAGAGUUGAAUUUAUUAAUUAUGUAACCAAUCGAUCUGGACUUGUGAUUAUAUUAAUUGUAUGCGGUCUAUCCAAUUCAUUACAUAUUAAUGCAUCGACUGGCUCAUUAGAGCUGUGGCUAACAUAACCGGAAAAGUUGGACAUAACGGAUUAAUAUAUAUAUAAAUGCGACAGCGAUUGUUCAUGCUCGCAGAGCAUAUUAAGCGCCAAAUAUGGACUUGUAAUUUUCAACAUUAAGUGCUAAAUGUAGCAUGUCAAUUUCAGAUUAAAACAGAUAAAUAUUUUUGCACAAAACGCAAGAUAUAUAAAUGUCUCUUAUUUUACGAUAUUUCAAGUACGUUUUAUUGCCCAUUUCCUACCUUAUUCUAUUUCAUCUAUUUUUGUAUUUGUGUAUGUUUUCAUUCAUGCCACGAUAAUUAGACUAAAUAGUCAAGUGAAAAGGUAAUUUUGCAGAAAUGACCGCGAUGACGCUUACUCCCGCAUAAAAGCAGACUGCAAUAAUCACGCCCGCCUGCAAAUCCGUCGCGGACAGUUUUAUAAUCCACCGGUUUUACACCGUCCUUUUAUUAAUACGGCGGGGCAGUAAACGGGGUUAAUCCGCAGUGCACGACAACGUGAGAGCACCGAAUUCGCCGACUGUAUUGUUCGCGAAAUUUAAAAAAAGCUUUCCUACAAAAAAAAAGUACUACGAUUCUUUUACAUACUUUAUUUUAUCAGCUAAAAUAUGCUAAAGCGUUAUUUUUUUCUUUAUUCUGGAAGAUCUAUGUGCGAUUCCUUUUAGAACUGCUGCAGAAACUUUUUAAAGAGUCAUACAUGAUAUAAGAUGACGUACAGUUUUACACGUCUAUUUUACUUUUUGCUUCGGAUGAUUUAAUUUCAAGCAAUUAAUUUUAAAGAUAUUUACAUUUUUAGACGCGGUAAAAUAUAGUAUGUAAUUGAAGCUUGGAAUGUUCUACGAAAAAAAAAUUAAAAUUGGUUUCAAUAAAAAAUUAUUUUUAAAAAAAUUCAUAAUCUGUGAUUUCUGACGAUAACAAAAAAAUUUUCAAAGAAGCGUCCGUUUAGAUCAAAUUAUAUGUGCGCAAAGUGCACUUAAAUAUAUCAGGUGAAACAUUUUCAACUGUUUCUGUGUUUCGUGAAAAUAUACAAGUCAAAAUAUACAAGUUCGAGACCAAUUUCCAAAUCCAAUGUUAGAAAAAAAAAUUUAUUAUCAAUCGAGUAGACUUUUUUUAAUUAUUUAAUUACACUUUUUGUAAAUAAAUUUUUAAUUGUCUAAUUAUAAAUGCAAGAGGCAACUGCGUACAUUCUAAAAGAUCGAUAAUCGUAGAACAAAGACUUGAAUGCUCUAAUAGAAUUUUGAAUCAAGCUUCUUUAUAUUUUAUAGUACGAGGAGUUUGACGAUUUUGUAAAAAUAGUAAAUUGGAAGUUCAAGAGGAAAAAGAGUUGAGACAAAGAGUCUGGCUUCUGCUUUGAUGUCUUAAUGCGGGUAGCAAACUCGCGCGACUUUCCAAAAAUUCAUUGAGCGGUAUCGCGAAUUCUUUCUCGCAGAAAUUACGUGAAGCACGAAAUGGUUUUUCCAAUAACUCCGCGCGAAGAGAAGCAUGAAUAGAAAGCUUGCGAUCGUAGAUAUUAUCUUCGUACUAACUUUAAUUAUCGAAAAUUUCCUUGCCUUUGAUGUCUUCUCUCGUGUUACCGAUCAAUUAUACCAACCAUAAAUAUUACUUCCGCACUCAACAUUAAGAUACGUAAGAGAGACUGUAGAAUCACACACAACGUUUAUUUUUGUUUGGUCAUUUGUAUUUUCAAGAAAAUUUUGAAUUAAUCGUCUUACGUUUUUCGAAAAUAUUUGAAAUAAGCUAUGUAAAAUUUCUUGAAUAUUAGCUUUUAAUUGCAAAAUUAUGCGAAAGUUAAUUCAGCGCGUAAAAUGAUCUUUGUCGCAGCGUUUCCCUCUUGGCUCUCUCAGCACCGUCGUUUUUCCGGUUAGUUUACCGUGGAUGGACCAUAAAUUUACGCCCGAAGGAAACGACGAACAGUUUGUCCCGCCGCGAAACAGGCACGGACGGCGCCGAAGAAGACGGCGCGCUUUGAGCUCCUAAUCCGCCGGGGAGAUUGAAGAACUGCGAAAGAAAGAGUCACGAGAGAUAUAAAAGGGACCAAGGGUAGAUUCCGGAACAAAGGGCGGACGAGAUCGCGACGAGCGGAGAGAUUUGACGCGUCGAAUGAAAAAUGCGCGCGACAAGACAAAUGACGAAGGAAGAAGGAAGAGGGGGAUGCACAGAAAGCGUCAAAAAAAAUAAAAUAAAA